Molecule: non-coding RNA, 72 nt
Organism: Phthorimaea operculella (potato tuberworm)
Lineage: Eukaryota; Metazoa; Arthropoda; Insecta; Lepidoptera; Gelechiidae
Source: the annotation of a GenBank genome assembly
GCAUCGGUAGCUCAGUGGUAGAGCAGUGGGGCGUUGACCUAUGCAGCCUGGGUUUGAGUCCCGGUCGAUGCG